This 253-nucleotide ribosomal RNA is filed under the name uncultured prokaryote. RNAcentral's name for it is "partial 16S ribosomal RNA". It matches the Rfam family "Bacterial small subunit ribosomal RNA", at positions 524 to 776 of the family's 1533-position model. The record is from RNAcentral.
UACGAAGGGGGCAAGCGUUAUUCGGAAUGAUUGGGCGUAAAGAGCGUGUAGGCGGUUGGAUAAGUUUGAUGUUUAAUUUCCUGGCUUAACUAGGAGCAUGCAUUGAAUACUGUCCGGCUAGAGUGUGAGAGAGGGAAGUGGAAUUCUUGGAGUAGCGGUAAAAUGCGUAGAUCUCAAGAGGAACGCUAAUGGCGAAGGCAGCUUCCUGGAGCACAACUGACGCUGAGACGCGAAGGCGUGGGGAGCAAACAGG